This 1488-nucleotide ribosomal RNA is filed under the name Lamyctes coeculus. RNAcentral's name for it is "eukaryotic LSU rRNA". It matches the Rfam family "Eukaryotic large subunit ribosomal RNA", at positions 76 to 1238 of the family's 3401-position model. The record is from RNAcentral. Lineage: Eukaryota; Metazoa; Arthropoda; Chilopoda; Lithobiomorpha; Henicopidae.
UUCCCUAGUAACGGCGAGUGAACGGGGAUUUGAGCUCAUCGCUGAAGCCUCCGUCCGUGAAGGGCGGCAGGCAAUGUAGCGUUUAGGGAGAGCCAUUCCUUAUCGGUUUGACAGUGCCCAAGUCCCCCUGACUGGGGCCAUUGCCCGCGGAGGGUGCUAGGCCCGUACGGCAUUGGUCAUCCGAAGGACGGCUCUUUCCCUCGAGUCGGGUUGCUUGGGAGUGCAGCCCUAAGACGAUGGUAAACUUCAUCCAAAGCUAAACACGGCCACGAGACCGAUAGCGAACAAGUACCAUGAGGGAAAGUUGCAAAGAACUUUGAAGAGAGAGUUCAAGAGUACGUGAAACCGCUCGGAGGCAAACGAAUGGGUACUCGAAGUUUGAACGGGGAGAUUCAACCGGUUUCGCCUCGCACGCUUAUACUCGAUUACCCGAUGAGGGUUAACGGAUUUCUUAAAGAACCGGAUCGAGGUGAACGGUGGGCAGGCACCGGCGCACUUCUCCCCUAGUAAGACGCCGCGACCGGUUAGUCGGUGGCCAUAAAGUUGCGAAUUAACGGGGCAGGUAUCCAGCUUGCGCUCGCGGCAUCUUUACGGGUGUUCGCGGCCUUGUCGGAGUUACAGCCUCUCGGUUAACUUGGCACCACCCGACUGACCGAGGUUGAACGUGACAUCCCAGCCGGAGUAAUUGGCCUGACAGGCGGCAGGCCGGUCGUAGACUAUGGUACGUUCUUUUGAACGGCCCACGGUCGACACGAUCGGUUGUUGGUCGCGGGUUUGAACGCUCCGUUAGCUGAUGGAGGUCUGCGGCGAUAAUGUCGGUCACCCAUCCGACCCGUCUUGAAACACGGACCAAGGAGUCUAACAUGUGCGCAAGUCAAUGGGGAUCUGUCGAGACCCACAGGCGUAAUGAAAGUGAAGGCAAACCUCGAUGUUUGCAGAGGCAAGAUGAGUUUUGCGGAGAACCGGUAGCGCGGUCUCCCGGCUAAGCAUUGUCGGCCCGUCGCGAUCGCUUUACUGUCGAUGCGGCGGAGCAUGAGCGGACACGUUGGGACCCGAAAGAUGGUGAUCUAUGCUUGAGCAGGAUGAAGCCAGAGGAAACUCUGGUGGAGGUCCGUAGCGAUUCUGACGUGCAAAUCGAUCGUCGGACUUGAGUAUAGGGGCGAAAGACUAAUCGAACCGUCUAGUAGCUGGUUCCUUCCGAAGUUUCCCUCAGGAUAGCUGGUGCUCGGAAUAAGGAACGCAGUUUCAUCCGGUAAAGCGAAUGAUUAGAGGCCUUGGGGCCGAAACGACCUCAACCUAUUCUCAAACUUUAAAUGGGUGAGAAGCCCGGCUUGCCUAAGCGAAGCCGUUGGGCGUGAACGAAUGCGAGUGCCAAGUGGGCCACUUUUGGUAAGCAGAACUGGCGCUGUGGGAUGAACCAAACGCCGGGUUAAGGCGCCUAAUGCAGACGCUCAUCAGAUCCCAUGAAAGGUGUUGGUUGCUAUAGAC